This 350-nucleotide unclassified non-coding RNA is filed under the name soil metagenome. RNAcentral describes it as "partial contains 5.8S ribosomal RNA, internal transcribed spacer 2, and large subunit ribosomal RNA". The stretch from base 1 to 120 matches the Rfam family "5.8S ribosomal RNA", at positions 35 to 154 of the family's 154-position model. The record is from RNAcentral.
GAUGAAGAACGUAGCGAACUGCGAUAAGUAAUGUGAAUUGCAGAAUUCAGUGAAUCAUCGAGUCUUUGAACGCACAUUGCGCCCCCUGGCAUUCCGGGGGGCAUGCCUGUCCGAGCGUCACUGCUGCCCUUCAAGCCCGGCUUGUGUGUUGGGUCGUCGUCCCCCCCGGGGGACGGGCCCGAAAGGCAGCGGCGGCACCGCGUCCGGUCCUCGAGCGUAUGGGGCUUUGUCACCCGCUCGAUUAGGGCCGGCCGGGCGCCAGCCGGCGUCUCCAACCUUCUAUUUUACCAGGUUGACCUCGGAUCAGGUAGGGAUACCCGCUGAACUUAAGCAUAUCAAUAAGCGGAGGA